AGCGAACGCUGGCGGCGUGCUUAACACAUGCAAGUCGAACGGAUCCGGGGGGCAACCCUUGGGUCAGUGGCGAACGGGUGAGUAACACGUGGGUAAUCUUCCCCCGAGUGAGGAAUAAGUCUGCGAAAGCGGGUCUAAUACCGCAUGACGUCCUAAGGCAUAUGCCUUAGGAUUAAAGCCGUGAGGCGCUUGGGGAUGAGCCUGCGUCCUAUUAGCUAGUUGGUAGGGUAAUGGCCUACCAAGGCGAUGAUGGGUAGCCGGCCUGAGAGGGUGUACGGCCACACUGGGACUGAGACACGGCCCAGACUCCUACGGGUGGCUG
Molecule: ribosomal RNA, 322 nt
Filed under: uncultured Nitrospirota bacterium
Lineage: Bacteria; Pseudomonadati; Nitrospirota
Description: bacterial SSU rRNA
Rfam family: Bacterial small subunit ribosomal RNA
Source: RNAcentral